GCCGGAGCCUGGAGUCGUGGCCCGGAGCGGGCCUUGGAGUCGGCGCGCAGGCGGCUCGCGGUUGUGAAAUGUGCUCGCAGGAGGCUUUUCAGGCACAGAGGAGCCAGCUGGUGGAGCUGCUGGUCUCAGGGUCCCUGGAGGGCUUCGAGAGUGUCCUGGACUGGCUGCUGUCCUGGGAGGUCCUCUCCUGGGAGGACUACGAGGGCUUCCACCUCCUGGGCCAGCCUCUCUCCCAGUUGGCCAGGCGCCUCCUGGACACCGUCUGGAAUAAGGGUACUUGGGCCUGUCAGAAACUCAUCGCGGCUGCCCAAGAAGCCCAGGCCGACAGCCAGUCCCCCAAGCUGCAUGGCUGCUGGGACCCCCACUCGCUCCACCCAGCCCGAGACCUGCAGAGUCACCGGCCAGCCAUUGUCAGGAGGCUCCACAGCCAUGUGGAGGACAUGCUGAACCUGGCAUGGGAGCGGGGUUUCGUCAGCCAGUACGAAUGUGACGAAAUCAGGUUGCCGAUCUUCACACCGUCCCAGAGGGCAAGAAGGCUGCUUGAUCUUGCCACGGUGAAAGCGAAUGGAUUGGCUGCCUUCCUUCUACAACAUGUUCAGGAAUUACCAGUCCCGUUGGCCCUGCCUUUGGAAGAUGAAAGAACUGAGGCCCAGAAAGGCUAAAUGGCUUGCCCAAGUGUAUGGUGGACCCAGGUUUUCAAACUCAGCUGCCACAUGCAAGAAGUACAUGGCCAAGCUGAGGACCACGGUGUCUGCUCAGUCUCGCUUCCUCAGUACCUAUGAUGGAGCAGAGACGCUCUGCCUGGAGGACAUAUACACAGAGAAUGUCCUGGAGGUCUGGGCGGACGUGGGCAUGGCUGGACCCCCGCAGAAGAGCCCGGCCACCCUGGGCCUGGAGGAGCUCUUCAGCACCCCCGGCCACCUCAAUGAUGAUGCGGACACUGUGCUGGUGGUGGGUGAGGCGGGCAGUGGCAAGAGCACGCUCCUGCAGCGGCUGCACUUGCUGUGGGCUGCAGGGCGAGACUUCCAGGAAUUUCUCUUUGUCUUCCCAUUCAGCUGCCGGCAGCUGCAGUGCAUGACCAAACCACUCUCUGUGCGGAC
This 1100-nucleotide small RNA is filed under the name Pongo abelii (Sumatran orangutan). Its description in RNAcentral is "processed transcript". Lineage: Eukaryota; Metazoa; Chordata; Mammalia; Primates; Hominidae. The record is from RNAcentral.